Long non-coding RNA from Mastomys coucha (southern multimammate mouse), 518 nucleotides. RefSeq lists it as uncharacterized. The transcript has 3 exons. NCBI's taxonomy places the organism in Eukaryota, Metazoa, Chordata, Mammalia, Rodentia, Muridae. The record is from RefSeq and is a predicted model, not a curated record.
AGACACCAAGGAAGCUAAAGGUCAAAGGGAUGGAAGAGCAGAGUCUGGGCAUCUUCAGUGGGCAGCUCUGCAGGCCCUGGAGAGGGAGGAACAGUGCCGAGGCCCUGAGAAGCCAGAGUCACGGAAGCUGAUAGAAAAGGUUCUUUUCCCUGGGUUCAAUCAAGCGAUCAUGAAACACACGGCUGGCUUCGUGAACUAGGAGCAGAGCAAUCAUCUCUUUGGAAUUAAUUACGUUCUUGUCUGCCUGCAUCAGUCCUAGCAGAAGCUGAGAGAUCAAGAGGCCACACAUGACCAACAUUUGCAGGUGUAAUGUUAUAUAAACACAUAAGCUUUCCAAGGAUCUCACUCUGUGGCUUUGGCUUGCCUGUAGAUGAGGCUGACCUCAAACUCAGAGAUCUUCCUGCUUCUGCCUCCGAGUACUGGAUUAAAGGAGCCACCACAGCUGGCUGUGAGAUGCUUUCUAAUACUGAUGUAUUCAACAUUUAAGUUUAGAUUAAGAACACCGGUGAGAUGAGGGG